This 745-nucleotide ribosomal RNA is filed under the name uncultured Clostridium sp. RNAcentral's name for it is "bacterial SSU rRNA". It matches the Rfam family "Bacterial small subunit ribosomal RNA", at positions 29 to 776 of the family's 1533-position model. Lineage: Bacteria; Bacillati; Bacillota; Clostridia; Eubacteriales; Clostridiaceae. RNAcentral also lists the same sequence under 1 other name. The record is from RNAcentral.
ACGAACGCUGGCGGCGUGCUUAACACAUGCAAGUCGAACGUGAUUUUUGUGGAAAUUCUUUCGGGAAUGGAAAUGAAAUGAAAGUGGCGAACGGGUGAGUAACACGUGAGCAACCUACCUUACACAGGGGGAUAGCCGUUGGAAACGACGAUUAAUACCGCAUGAGACCACAGAAUCGCAUGAUAUAGGGGUCAAAGAUUUAUCGGUGUAAGAAGGGCUCGCGUCUGAUUAGCUAGUUGGAAGGGUAAAGGCCUACCAAGGCGACGAUCAGUAGCCGGUCUGAGAGGAUGAACGGCCACAUUGGAACUGAGACACGGUCCAAACUCCUACGGGAGGCAGCAGUGGGGAAUAUUGCACAAUGGGGGGAACCCUGAUGCAGCGACGCCGCGUGAGCGAAGAAGGUUUUCGAAUCGUAAAGCUCUGUCCUAUGAGAAGAUAAUGACGGUAUCAUAGGAGGAAGCCCCGGCUAAAUACGUGCCAGCAGCCGCGGUAAUACGUAUGGGGCGAGCGUUGUCCGGAAUUAUUGGGCGUAAAGGGUACGUAGGCGGUUUUUUAAGUCAGGUGUGAAAGCGUGAGGCUUAACCUCAUUAAGCACUUGAAACUGGAAGACUUGAGUGAAGGAGAGGAAAGUGGAAUUCCUAGUGUAGCGGUGAAAUGCGUAGAUAUUAGGAGGAAUACCGGUGGCGAAGGCGACUUUCUGGACUUUUACUGACGCUCAGGUACGAAAGCGUGGGGAGCAAACAGG